UCUGAGUCGAGUCGGGUCUGGUGUAAGCUGCUGUCGAAUCGAGUCGGCGGUGAGGGUGGCGACCGUGGCACCGCCGCGGUUGCCAGAGCUCGGUGAGGGUGGCUUCUGAGAGGACAGGGUCUGGCUGGAGAAGAGAGAGAGGUUGUUGUGUUGAGCUAGUCGAGAGGGAGAGAUAGAGGGCGGCGAUGGUAGCGGCAGGAAGCUGCUGCCGUCGGCCAAGGUUGAGCAAGGGAGGCUAGGGCACGGUGGCGGCGAAGAGUCAUCAUCGUCGCCUGAAAUUGGAGAGGGGGCGCGGCGGCAGCGGCUUCUCGCUGCUGACUCACCGGAGUUCCAGAGAGGAAUCGCGGCGGCGCGAUUUGGUGAGGAAGAGGGAGAUGGUGAUGGCUG
RNAcentral lists this long non-coding RNA (387 nucleotides) under Salvia miltiorrhiza (redroot sage). RNAcentral describes it as "long non-coding RNA (SMIL_LNC010887)". The record is from RNAcentral. Lineage: Eukaryota; Viridiplantae; Streptophyta; Magnoliopsida; Lamiales; Lamiaceae.